Aedes albopictus (Asian tiger mosquito) is the source of this 2562-nucleotide RNA transcript. It is a transcript of the gene named tropomyosin-1, with no coding region annotated. NCBI's taxonomy places the organism in Eukaryota, Metazoa, Arthropoda, Insecta, Diptera, Culicidae. The transcript has 6 exons. The record is from RefSeq and is a predicted model, not a curated record.
CGAACGGCCGCUCGGUGGUCUCGGUGGCGCACUGCUCGGUGCGUGUGUAGUGGUAGUGCCCGAACGUUUUUAGGGUCAAUCGGACGUUUUAGAGUAUUGCACUACUCAGUGCUAUCGUGUUUUUAGUCUUGCGAGGAUUUGAGUGAAAGCGCUCAGCAGCAACCCGUUGUGUUCGAUCUUUUUCUUGGAAGGCCGGAGUAACAAAAAAAUCCAUCCACCAUGGACGCGAUUAAGAAGAAGAUGCAGGCGAUGAAGCUGGAGAAGGACAAUGCCGCCGACAAAGCCGAUACCUGCGAGAACCAGGCCAAGGAGGCCAACCUCCGUGCCGACAAGAUCAUGGAGGAGGUCGCUGAGCUGACCAAGCGUCUGACCCAGGUCACCGAGGACCACGAGAAGUUCAAGAACACCCUGGAGCAGGCCAACAAGGACCUCGAGGAGAAGGAAAAGCUGCUGACCUCCACCGAGGCCAACGUGGCCGCCCUGACCCGCAAGGUCCAACAGGUUGAGGAGGAUCUGGAAAAAUCCGAGGAACGCUCGGGCGCCGCUCUGUCCAAGCUGCUGGAGGCCACCCAAUCCGCUGAUGAGAACAACCGUAUGUGCAAGGUAUUGGAGAACCGUUCCCAGCAGGAUGAGGAGCGUAUGGACCAACUGAGCAACCAGCUGAAGGAAGCCCGUAUGCUCGCUGAAGACGCUGACGGCAAGUCUGAUGAAGUGUCCCGCAAGCUGGCCUUCGUUGAAGACGAGCUGGAAGUCGCUGAAGACCGUGUCAAGUCCGGUGAGGCCAAGAUCAUGGAGUUGGAAGAAGAGUUGAAGGUCGUCGGUAACUCGCUCAAGUCUCUGGAGGUCUCGGAAGACAAGGCCAACCAGAGAGUCGAGGAAUUCAAGCGCCAGCUGAAGUCCCUCACCAUCAAGCUGAAGGAGGCCGAGACUCGUGCCGAAAACGCCGAAAAGAACGUCAAGAAGCUCCAGAAGGAAGUCGACAGACUAGAAGACAAAUUGAUGAACGAGAAGGACAAGUACAAAGCGAUCUGCGACGACCUGGACUCCACCUUCGCCGAACUUACCGGAUACUAAUUUCUCCAAUCUACUACCACUACUAUUACUACUAGCUACUACUAGCGCUGCUAUUACUACUACAGCCAUCACCACCAGCUUGCACAUACGUAAACCAACCACCAACAAACAACAAACAUAUGAGACAACUCAAAUCCAAGGAGAAGCGGUUCGGUUCGUUCCAUUUCUUUUGUCUCGCUCACACUCUCUGUUCUACUACACUACCACCAUCACCACCGUGUCUGUUGCCGUCUAAGUGUUGGAGUCCGUGUCCACGAUCGUGUAACCCCGUACAGUAGUAGUGGGACCGAUACAAAGCACCAGGGUGUAUCUGUUCCCUUCCUUCAUGUUCUCUGAUGUUUUCCCCAAGUGAAUCGGAUGUUGUUACGAUUCUUCUCACAUUGGCGAGAAAGUGAUUAAUGUUGCGUUCAAUAGACGAAUUGGGCGUCAACAAGGACAGAUACAAGUCUCUGGCCGACGAGAUGGACUCGACCUUCGCCGAGUUGGCCGGAUACUAGGAGAAAUUGUCAACUUUUCUACGUACUGCUUUAACUUUAUAUAGAAUCAACUACUGAUACAAACAAGCUAUAUACUAAAAAAAAACACCAAGAAAACGGUUUGAUUUAGAACUUUUCCUCGUGGUCCCACUGCAGAAGCAAUGCACUAAACGAUCGCACCAUCAACAGCACCACCACCACCACCACCGCUAGAUAGUAGCAGCGAAGAACGAAGAACUACAGAGAGAUAUUGAAAUGAACGCUCCGAAACUCCUCUUCAAAAAAAAAAUACCGAAAUCAGAACAUCCGAUCCCUUUUUUCGAUUGUUUCAAGAGCAAGCAGCUUAAAAAUUCAUGUUUUAUCAUUAGAAAAGUAUUAGGCCGUAAUUUAUCGCAUCAUUUGAUUAGUAAGUAAGAAACCGUCAUUCUUUCUAAUUAAGAUUACACACAGAAACGUAUUGUUGUUGUUGUUGCAGCCAAGAAACAAGUUCAUGGUCAGAAGCAAACAAGUGAAGAUAAAAUUGAGAACCAUCUAAUAUGUAGGAAUUAUAUCGUAACAAAAAUAAGUUUUAGUACCCUAUUCGUUGGAAGAUUUGUUUAGGAAAAAAAAAACACACACAUUUAGAACAACCGAUGACGGAGCCAGAAACGGAAACAUCCAGACAUAAUCGAUUCGGGAAAUUGUUGGUGUUAGGUAAUGUGCUGGAGCAACACCAAUCAGCCAGAAACAAAAGAAAAAACGUCGAUGCACUCAAAACGGAAGUCAUGUAUUAUUACUAUCUUUUAAUAAAAAAAAAUGUUAAAACAAAAAUCCCAAACAUCUACAACUCGAUGGGAAAACUGUCUGCUCUGAUUCGGUUCGUGUGCCUUGGGGGCACCCGACAACCGAGUUGUGUACUAGAAUCCUCUAUUUCUCUAUUUUUAUUAGAAGAAAUCGAAAAAAAACCUAUUUAUUGUAAUGCUAAGUUUUGAUUUAUUUUUGUAUAAUAAACGUUUAAUUAUUAGCUAAGGUA